This 425-nucleotide ribosomal RNA is filed under the name uncultured bacterium. RNAcentral's name for it is "partial 16S ribosomal RNA". It matches the Rfam family "Bacterial small subunit ribosomal RNA", at positions 354 to 796 of the family's 1533-position model. The record is from RNAcentral.
GUGGGGAAUCUUAGACAAUGGGCGCAAGCCUGAUCUAGCCAUGCCGCGUGAGCGAUGAAGGCCUUAGGGUUGUAAAGCUCUUUCGCUGGGGAAGAUAAUGACUGUACCCAGUAAAGAAGCCCCGGCUAACUCCGUGCCAGCAGCCGCGGUAAUACGGAGGGGGCUAGCGUUGUUCGGAAUUACUGGGCGUAAAGCGCGCGUAGGCGGAUUGGAAAGUUGGGGGUGAAAUCCCGGGGCUCAACCUCGGAACUGCCUUCAAAACUCCCAGUCUUGAGUUAGAGAGAGGUGAGUGGAAUUCCGAGUGUAGAGGUGAAAUUCGUAGAUAUUCGGAGGAACACCAGUGGCGAAGGCGGCUCACUGGCUCGAUACUGACGCUGAGGUGCGAAAGCGUGGGGAGCAAACAGGAUUAGAUACCCUUGUAGUCC